This 759-nucleotide long non-coding RNA is filed under the name Coturnix japonica (Japanese quail). Its description in RNAcentral is "lncRNA (ENSCJPG00005015761.1)". Lineage: Eukaryota; Metazoa; Chordata; Aves; Galliformes; Phasianidae. The record is from RNAcentral.
CCCAUAGAGGUAAUAGAAGCUGAUGGCUUUCAGUACAUCCAGUAAUCCAACUCCUAGAGCCAUGCUUGAAGUUAAGUAAAACCCUUGUAGUGGUCAGCAAGUUUUGGCGAAGAUUUUGAAAAACAGGGAUACAAAGGGAACUGUGGCAGCUGAAUUCUCUUUCAUGUAUGUCCAGUCCAGGUGAAGCCCAGCAUAAUGUACUGUAAUAUGUCUCUUCAGUUCUCUGAUACAAUGACCUGUACAUCCUCUAAAUCCCCCACAGAAUGCACAGACAUAGACUGAUUGAGUCACAUAGAACUUGAAAGCAGCAAAGCUUCUGUCUCCCAUAUGUGUAACAGAAGCAUUUAUGCUUAUGUCCACUUUUUGUCUGUAUUGAGUAAGAAGAUGUGAUUUGGUCUGCAGCUUGCCAAAGCCAUUAGCUGCUUGUGUAAUUCUGGGAGGUUGUCAAAGCAGUUUUGGUCUUUACUGAGGAUUCUUUAAGACAACUGCUCUGUUUGAAGUUCUUCGCUGGUUUGAAGUGCUACAACAGACUGGUGGAUUUGCGGACAGAUUUCGGGCAAGAUAUAAAUUGGCUUGUCUGCAGGAAUGCAGUAGUACUUUUGGCUGUGCCUGGAAAACAUAAACAAGCAUUUCUUCUACUAAGGAUUGUAUUUAGCAGCAGACAUUUGAUUUGCUGCAGAAUGACUGAACAGGUAAAUUAUUGAUAUAUUGAUAUAUAUAUUGAUAUAUUUAACAAUCAGAUUUUGUUAUAUGCUGAAC